RNAcentral lists this unclassified non-coding RNA (358 nucleotides) under Hevea brasiliensis (rubber tree). The record is from RNAcentral. Lineage: Eukaryota; Viridiplantae; Streptophyta; Magnoliopsida; Malpighiales; Euphorbiaceae.
AAGCAUGCUGCACAGCUUUGUGUGUUAGCAGAGGACUGUGACCAGCCAGAUUAUGUCAAAUUGGUCAAAGCGCUCUGUGCUGAUCACAAUGUCAGUUUGAUUACGGUUCCGAAUGCAAAAACUCUUGGCGAAUGGGCUGGUUUGUGUAAGAUUGAUUCUGAAGGGAAAGCAAGGAAGGUGGUCGGCUGUGGCUGUGUUGUUGUGAAGGAUUACGGAGAAGAGACUGAGGGUCUGCAUAUUGUCCAAGAGUACGUGAAGUCCCAUUAAAUUCGCGGUGCAUAUGAAGGAAGACCUCUUCCCUCCCUACCAAAAUGAUAAUCCAGAAGACAUUAGUUCUGCAGAUGAUUUUCAGUUUUUA